UAUGGAAGAGGUUUAGAUAUUCUUAGAACUCCGCUCGUAAUCCAGCCAAAACUGACAUGGAUGUCAGUUUAGCUGCAAUAAGCCAUGGAUGGCUGUUUUGCAGCGUUGGCGUAAAUAUGUAAAAAUCCUGCCGGAGUUCUUAGAAUGUCUUAACCUUGAACAUU
This is a regulatory RNA element of Firmicutes bacterium CAG:882, 164 nucleotides long. NCBI's taxonomy places the organism in Bacteria, Bacillati, Bacillota. The record is from Rfam.